GUACUUGUCUUACUUGUCUCCCCUGGACUAGACAACAAAAUGGCGGUGAACGCUACCCGACCGCUAGUAGUUCCAAAGCAUUAUGAUCCUAUGUUUAAAGUUGACGUUUUGCUGCACGAACCAACGGUAGCGUCGAUGUCAACGGGAGCUGGGGAGAUAAAAGUGGAAGUAGCUGCGUUGUGUUCUCAGCUGGAAGUUCUGUGCAGAAAAGAAUUACUAAACCAACCCUCACAUAGGAUUGAUAAUGGGAAGGUCAGCAACUCCUUCAGAAGUAAAGCAAAUCUUAUUAUUGAGCGGAUGCGCCAUGUGCUGGUCAAAGACAGGACAAUUCAUUCUUCAGUGGAGGAAUACUUAGGAAUUACAAAUAUGAGCAAGAUGUUUCCAAGGGCUGUGCAAUACAUCAAAGACUCUAAGAGCUUCUCUCUUGUAUCAAAGCAGACUCACCUGGAUGAGUACAUAGGUGCUAUGUCUCACCUUCAUCAGAUAGCAACAUUAUCACAUCAGAUUAAUGAGGAUAUUAUCAAAUCUCAGCGGCCCAAGUACCUGGCACAUCAACUGGCCUUGUUAUAUCAAUCAAUUUCAAGCCUGAAGAACAUUGAGCCACUGAGUCAGCACAAAAAGAGCAUAGAGGAGAAUUUUAAAGCUAUAAAAUCUGUUCUUAUAAAUGAGGACCAGCCUAACGAUCCUGUUCCAGACGAGCUCAGAAAGUGUGUUUGGGAGCUGACCAAUCAGAUUACAAGGAUUGUUGAGUCGCUGCCAUCCACGCUUACCCAGCAUGCUUUGCUGCCUUCUUGUCUUUUGAUUCAGACAUGAAAGCAAGUGAGCAGGGAAGAAAAGGAGAAGACACUAGGAAGAGAAGGUGAAAUAAGCUGCCAGUUGAAUAAAAAUUAAGUACAUUUUCUGGUCCACCAUUUACUAUAUAAUACAAUUUUCUGGAGAAACCACAUAAAAUAAAUAAAGUAUAUUUGGAAAGAGA
This 976-nucleotide unclassified non-coding RNA is filed under the name Pomacea canaliculata. RNAcentral's name for it is "uncharacterized LOC112555381, transcript variant X3". Lineage: Eukaryota; Metazoa; Mollusca; Gastropoda; Architaenioglossa; Ampullariidae. The record is from RNAcentral.